UCUAUCUCAAGCGUCACACAUGUUCCUACAAGCAAUGCCUGGAUGCAAAGCUUCACUAUGAAUUUUCCUCUCUGAUGCCAGAUCACACCAGGAUUUUCCCUGCCUCUUCUUCUUUCAGGAGCAAUGGCUAUUUAUUAUUCCUCAUGCCCACUCCACAUGAUAGAAAACUAUGCAGAAAACAGGAAAAGGUGAAAGCAAGGCUAUUUAAAGCUGCAAAUGAAGAAUGCAAGGCUUAGGAAACCUCAGCUUUGUGACUGCCUGCACAACCCUCCUUCAUCCCUCCUUCUUGCCUGUGUACUGUGGCAGAGCUGUUAAUCACAUAAUCACAGGCUAUUUUUCUACAGGACCUUGGCCUCACCCAGUACAGCAGGAUACACGGAGCUCACCUAGCAAGCAGUCACUAUUUCAUCUUCUCUGCACUGUUCAAGGUGUGGCCCCAAGCGUUGUUUACCAGGGAGACUCACAAAAUCCUGAAGAAAAGGUCCACCUGAAAAUUCCAGGCAGUGAUUUAUCUGUGUUGACACCAGGAAAGACAGACAGAC
Long non-coding RNA from Neopsephotus bourkii (Bourke's parrot), 542 nucleotides. RefSeq lists it as uncharacterized. NCBI's taxonomy places the organism in Eukaryota, Metazoa, Chordata, Aves, Psittaciformes, Psittacidae. The record is from RefSeq and is a predicted model, not a curated record. The transcript is spliced from 2 exons.